GGACUACUGGGGUUUCUAAUCCUGUUCGCUCCCCACGCUUUCGCUCCUCAGCGUCAGUACAGGCCCAGAGAACCGCCUUCGCCACCGGUGUUCCUCCCGAUAUCUGCGCAUUUCACCGCUACACCGGGAAUUCCAUUCUCCCCUGCCUGCCUCCAGCCGGCCCGUAUCCACUGCACGCCCGGGGUUAAGCCCCGGGAUUUCACAGCAGACGCAACCAGCCGCCUACGAGCUCUUUACGCCCAAUAAUUCCGGACAACGCUCGCGCCCUACGUAUUACCGCGGCGGCUGGCAC
Molecule: ribosomal RNA, 292 nt
Filed under: uncultured bacterium
Lineage: Bacteria
Description: partial 16S ribosomal RNA
Source: RNAcentral